UGUCAGCGGUUUUCAGUCAACAGCUAAAUUUACCAAUCUAUUCAUGAAACGUAUUUCUUCUGCCCUCAUCCCCAUUUCCACCCAUCUCCGCCGCCGCCCACUGCAUUCAACUGGGCAGCUGCAUUAUCUGACGACGGAAGAGUUUGUUAUUUUCCAACUCAAGCCACCGUCGUAUAAUUCCCGCUUCACGCGUCUAUCCUAGCGUCGGCGAUGCUCCACCUCUAUACGAUGUGCCAGCAACUCCGUACAUAACUAUAGAAACCAUAACAUCAUUUUAAUAAGUUCGAACCCGGCAACAAUCAUGACCGAUCCGAAUUUAGCCGAUCGGAUCUACACUUGAAACUGCUAAUGAAAUUGGUGAAUUUCCGUUGAUCUUUAGGGCCGCUUUUACUUUAGGUGGGGCUGGUGGCGCCGUUGCGGAUUAUCGGAAAGAGUUUGAGGCAAUUUUGGCAGGGGCUCAUUUGAGCUAUUUUUAAAACAUUAAGCAUGUUUUUGAGACUGAGAAAUCAUGAAGAGUCAAUCUGUUCUUUAGCCUUAAACACUAAAGGCAUGUUUGAAGAACCUUAGCUGUGAGGUGUGGCAUGGUCAUGCAUCCUAUAAUCAGAAACCAUAUCAUAGAUUGAUGAUGGGAACUUGGGGAGCAAAAGUACAUCCAUCUCCAUCAAGCAUUACUGACGCGGGUAGGUAAAUCCUUCAGAAGGAUCCUGCGAGUAUUAGGAAUUGCUAUUUCAGAAGCUGUGGAGGUUGCAGCUGCAAAUGCUGAUACUAAGUAUCGCAGGACUCAGUUCUCCAUUCAUUAUCUGAAUUGGACUUUACAAGUGAUCAGAACCAUGCACUUGACCAGAAAUUAUACAGCUCAAGUUACGAUUCAGGUAUCGCGAGUUUGCUUCUUCUGGUGGAACAUCUUCAUAGUAUGCAUCUGCAAUCAAAUUCAAUGCGCCUUCCUGCUGUUGGCUGCCUGAUGUUUGCGUCUUCUUGCACCGCUCUACAGCCUCUACUCCUUUGCUAACAGGUGAGACCUUUCUUUUCUUGAACUCAUGGACACUACUGAUGUGGUCUUCUUUAUCCUUUGCAUGUUUGUUAUAUAUUAUACAACUGACAUAUACAUUGACCUGAAAACGAAAAAGAGCAGAAGGUUAGAACAUUGUCUUGUUUUCACAAUACAUAACAACCCAAAUUAUUAGAAUUUAAUUUGAGAAUAUAAGGAGUGGUGGUAAUUAAUCUAUGAAAGAUGUUAGUUUCAAUUAAAAUCAAAUUCAUCUAAAUAUUUAGGACAUUAUUUUAUAUUUUAAUUAAAAUUGAUUAUCAAAUUCUAAUACUCGUUAACUUAGGAUUCUAUUUUUCAAUUAUGGUUUCUUACACUCCAAUAUAGUUUCAUUCUUUGCAAAAAAAAAUUCUUUGGUAUAUGAUCAUGAGGUGGCUUGAACGGGUUUUGCGGAAGGCAAAAGUCUAACCUCAAGUUUUAAAUAACUGCAUAUAUGAUUAAAGUUCGUAUUUGCGACCUCACAUAAGGCACGAGAGCGUUUUACCAAUCCAUAUGCGCUUUGGGGUUAUUCUUUCCACAUUUUUAAUAUAAAGAAGUGGAAUGUUCAUUUAUGGAGUGAGAAAAGCUGUUCCCGUACAAAUAUGCAUAAUCAAUUUUAGGUUUUUUUUCUUCCAAAGCAUCAAUUUUAGGUUAAUAACAUAGUUAAAUUCAUUUGACUAAAUCUAAUCCAAUCAUAUUGACACCGAUAUUUAUAAUUAAUGAACAUAUAAUUAAAGGUUUGAAGUUAUGAAAAAUGUAAUAAUCUAAAAUCAAAUUAAUAUAAUAUACAUAGAUUAUAUUAACAAGUAAUAUUCUUUUUCAACAAUUAGAAAAGAGGAGCGUUUGUGGUAAAAAUUCAACCAGCAAUCUAACAAUUUGUUGCACGACGCUCAUAUUAACAUCAUGUAAUAAAAUUGAUUCAGACAUAUUGACAAAUGUAUGCUUUUUUGACAAUUAUGGACCAAUGUAUGUUAGAGGGGUGAUAUUAGUAUUAUUAUAAUUGUAUGAUUAUAUGAUUUGUGAAGCUUUCAAAUCACAUGUCAUGUAUGAUCCAUUAAAAUAGAUUAUAUGUAACUGCUUCGAUUUAUUCUCAGUAAAAUAAUCUUGAUUUUCCAAAAAAAAAAAGGAAUAUUAGUAUCCAAACUUCAAUUUUUGAUGAGGAAAUUAAACCCAACACUUUAUAACAGUUAAAUACUCACUUUCACGACGCAGGGUAUUUCCUUACAAAAUUAUGAUACACUUUUAUUCCCUUUUGAUUUUGUGCUUUUAUUUUCUAAUUUUACUGUUAUGCUUCUUUUCCUUCUUCGCGUUACAACGAUUUCAAUCCAAAUUAAGCCAUCAAUUUUCUAUUUUAUGAUGGCAGUCUUCAUUAAUUUGUCAAAAAUCUUCACGGCAUCAACAUUUCUCCGGUCAUGGCACGAUGGUUGUCAGAUCUUGCUCAUCUGAAAUUCUGAAUAUAAUAACCGUAAAUUCACCUUCAACAACCAUAUAUUUUCCAGCUCUUGCUCAUUUGAACAUACACAAUUUUAUUUAUGUGUCGCUGAUGUGUGGCAAUACCCAUCAGCGCACAUAGGCGUUACCUGAGCAAAAUUACAUAAUUGGAUAUUAUUGAAAUAAAAUCAUACAUUUCAGGACAAAUUGAAUAAAAUUGUAAAGUCUGCAAUUUUGUAAAAUUUUCAUAAAAGGUUUUGAUUUUUUUGGUCAUUUGGCCUAUAAAAUUAAAGCAUCGCAUGUCUGAACCGCUACUAGAUGCUAGUCUUAUAUUUCAAAUAAAUUAAUCAAAUUAGUAAAAAACUACUAAUUAGUCUAAAAGAUGUCAGUGGCUACCGACUCAAACUUAUCCUUCUUAUUUAAAGAAGAGUGCAAAAGAUAAAAGUAAACUUACAUUCAAUAAAUAGAAAAAUUAAUUUAUAGGUAAA
Molecule: long non-coding RNA, 2943 nt
Organism: Mercurialis annua (annual mercury)
Lineage: Eukaryota; Viridiplantae; Streptophyta; Magnoliopsida; Malpighiales; Euphorbiaceae
Exons: 4
Source: RefSeq, a predicted model, not a curated record